Long non-coding RNA from Acinonyx jubatus (cheetah), 1862 nucleotides. RefSeq lists it as uncharacterized. The record is from RefSeq and is a predicted model, not a curated record. NCBI's taxonomy places the organism in Eukaryota, Metazoa, Chordata, Mammalia, Carnivora, Felidae. The transcript is spliced from 4 exons.
GUAGGAGGGUAGUGGAGUGGCCUCAAAAGAGAGGCCCCUCUUCCUCCCUCAAUUCCAGGGUGUGCCUGAGAGAGAGCUUCUGUGCUUCGCUCCAAAAAAAAGAUGGUGAAAUUGAGGUUCAUUUCAGGAAUUAUGGAACUUGCUGGAAGUCAUGCAGCUACUAAGUGAUAGAGACAUUAGUCUGAGGAGUCUUGUGGCCAUUUUGAAAUGUUAGAGUCCUAGGGAAAGAAAAAUCAUGGAAUUUCCAUAUUCAUGGAAAAACAGGACCUUCUCAGAUGACUAAAAGAAAUCAAAAUUCCAUUCACAAAAGAAAAAAGUUACAUGAAAUGUCUCUUUAGGAUAAAUUCCCAGAAAUGGAAUUUCUCUGGAUGCCCUGCACUGCUGAUUUGAUACAGAUUGCCAAAUGGCCUGAAGAGUUACUUUUCAAAUUUUAGGUCCCAGAUGUCCAGUUAUGGUGGAGCCCUCCCUACCUUUAAGCUCACUGUGAGCUCCCCAGAUUCUGCAAGAAAGGCCAGGGUAGAGAAAAUAUCCGGUGAAAACCACAACUAACCUGUGCCUGGUUCUGGAAGGUUCUUCACGCACAUUAUCUUGUGCAAGCCACAGAUCAUUCUUAAGAAGCUGGUAUCAUCUGAUCUACUUUAUAUAUGAAGACUCGGAAGCUCAGAAGCUGGAUAAAUUCCUCAAAGAGAGAAGUUUGCUAUUGAAACUUGACUUUAUGGGGCCACAAAAUGCCCUGGGCACUUGGAGGAUGAGUAGUAAAAGUAGGGUGAAGAGGCCAAGCUUUGUCUACUUUGAAUGCUUACCCUCAAUGUCACUGCUCCUUUGUCCUGUUCCUAACACUCUACAGAAACCAGUGCUACGGAUGGGUACGGAGCCAACCCUCCCUCCAUAAAUGUCAGCACCUGCCUGGGGCUCCUAACAUUGGCCUUUAUCUUCCCCACAGGGCUGACUUUUUUAUGAGUUGAAGUCUGAGAAACAAGUCAGUUUCCCACUUCUCUAAAAUCUUAAAAUAGGAAACAUCAGCCAUAAGCUAUGAGAGCAAGCCAGCCAAGGUGUAUGUUUGCUGGAAAUAAAACUGGUAGGUCCUUCAGGGCAAGGGGGGGAUGGACUCAGGGGCAUUUCUUCACCAUCUGUUUCAGCCUCCAAUGUGUCUUGAUAGAUGGUUUUUGCUUAUUACUCAUUACUCACCUCAUCUUUCUCCCUGAGCUCCGUUCCUUGAAAUAUGGUUCUCUCAUUUGAAUAGCAAUGACUAAGUGCAUUGGAACUUACUUAAAUACAUUCUAAAAACAUUAAAUUGAGAACACACAAUCCAGCAAUGUACCAAUUGCCAAACUCUAGUAAAAGUUGAAGUGAUUAAAACAAUUUAAUGCAUGAAACACGCGUUCAGGAAGGCAAAGAGAAAGAGUAAGUUUUUCCAGUGCAACGUCAGCCCGGUGAUAUUUCGGAAGAAGUGGGUGGAGGCCAUUGCCAAGAGAAAGUGAAAUAAUUGAUGAAGACCCAAAGGAAAAUGCCCUUGAUCUCGAAGUUAUUACUUCAUUUCAUGAAAUACCUUAAAAGUCAAUGACAGACUAUAAAGUCAGAAAGUCAAUAGUUUUUCCCCCCCUUGGAUACAAUUCCAAUAUGUGCAUAUAAACAUGUCAGGCAGUCCUCUAGAAAAGAAAAAAAACUAUAGCUUGGGGUCUGGGUCAUGUUUUCAAAUAGCCUUAUUAUUCCUGUUAUGAAGUGGACACUCAGGUAUUUGGCUCGGGACUUUUAUCCACACCCAAGUGAUUGGGUGAUUUAUAACUUGCUAUCCACAUUCUCAUAGCUGUUUGGUCAAUUUAAAGGCCUAAAACUGGGCUUGAUGUUUACUCUAUCAGGAA